RNAcentral lists this microRNA (23 nucleotides) under Ornithorhynchus anatinus (platypus). RNAcentral's name for it is "oan-miR-181c-5p". Its record names the gene oan-miR-181c-5p. Lineage: Eukaryota; Metazoa; Chordata; Mammalia; Monotremata; Ornithorhynchidae. The record is from miRBase by way of RNAcentral.
AACAUUCAUUACUGUCGGUGGGU